UCGAGCGGCAGCGUAAAAGAAGUUUUUUUUCUUUGUCGGCGAGCGGCGGACGGGUGAGUAAUGUAUGGGGAUCUACCUUAAGGAGUGGGAUAACUAUUAGAAAUGAUAGCUAAUACCACAUAAUCUCUGAGGAGCAAAGUGGGGGACUCUUUUAAGAGCCUCAUGCCUUUAGAUGAACCCAUAUGAGAUUAGCUAGUAGGUAAGGUAAUGGCUUACCUAGGCUACGAUCUCUAGCUGGUCUGAGAGGAUGACCAGCCACACUGGGACUGAGACACGGCCCAGACUCCUACGGGAGGCAGCAGUGGGGAAUAUUGCACAAUGGGCGAAAGCCUGAUGCAGCUAUGCCGCGUGUAUGAAGAAGGCCUUCGGGUUGUAAAGUACUUUCAGUUGUGAGGAAGGAAUUAAAGUUAAUACCUUUGAUUAUUGACAUUAGCAACAGAAGAAGCACCGGCUAACUCCGUGCCAGCAGCCGCGGUAAUACGGAGGGUGCAAGCGUUAAUCGGAAUUACUGGGCGUAAAGGGCACGCAGGUGGUUAAUUAAGUUGGAUGUGAAAUCCCUUGGCUUAACCUUGGAAUUGCAUUCAAAACUGAUUAGCUAGAGUCUUGUAGAGGGAGGUAGAAUUCCAUGUGUAGCGGUGAAAUGCGUAGAGAUAUGGAGGAAUACCAGUGGCGAAGGCGACCUCCUGGACAAAGACUGACGCUCAUGUGCGAAAGCAUGGGGAGCAAACAGGAUUAGAUACCCUGGUAGUCCAUGCUGUAAACGAUGUCGAUUUGGAGGUUGUGACUUUAUUUGUUGUGGCUUCCGUAGCUAACGCGUUAAAUCGACCGCCUGGGGAGUACGGCCGCAAGGUUAAAACUCAAAUGAAUUGACGGGGGCCCGCACAAGCGGUGGAGCAUGUGGUUUAAUUCGAUGCAACGCGAAGAACCUUACCUACUCUUGACAUCCAAAGAAGUGAACAGAGAUGUUUAUGUGCCUUCGGGAACUUUGAGACAGGUGCUGCAUGGCUGUCGUCAGCUCGUGUUGUGAAAUGUUGGGUUAAGUCCCGCAACGAGCGCAACCCUUAUCCUUUGUUGCCAU
This 1078-nucleotide ribosomal RNA is filed under the name Enterobacteriales bacterium symbiont of Nycteribia stylidiopsis. RNAcentral describes it as "bacterial SSU rRNA". It matches the Rfam family "Bacterial small subunit ribosomal RNA", at positions 62 to 1121 of the family's 1533-position model. The record is from RNAcentral. Lineage: Bacteria; Pseudomonadati; Pseudomonadota; Gammaproteobacteria; Enterobacterales.